This 302-nucleotide ribosomal RNA is filed under the name uncultured bacterium. RNAcentral describes it as "partial 16S ribosomal RNA". It matches the Rfam family "Bacterial small subunit ribosomal RNA", at positions 508 to 808 of the family's 1533-position model. The record is from RNAcentral.
GCAGUAGCCACGGUAAUACGGAGGGUGCAAGCGUUAUCCGGAUUUAUUGGGUUUAAAGGGUCCGUAGGCGGAUCUGUAAGUCAGUGGUGAAAUCUCACAGCUUAACUGUGAAACUGCCAUUGAUACUGCAGGUCUUGAGUAAAUUUGAAGUGGCUGGAAUAAGUAGUGUAGCGGUGAAAUGCAUAGAUAUUACUUAGAACACCAAUUGCGAAGGCAGGUCACUAAGAUUUAACUGACGCUGAUGGACGAAAGCGUGGGGAGCGAACAGGAUUAGAUACCCCGUAGUCCCUGUCUCUUAUACA